AACGAACGCUGGCGGCAUGCCUAACACAUGCAAGUCGAGCGGGCGUAGCAAUACGUCAGCGGCAGACGGGUGAGUAACGCGUGGGAACAUACCUUUUGGUUCGGAACAACACAGGGAAACUUGUGCUAAUACCGGAUAAGCCCUUACGGGGAAAGAUUUAUCGCCGAAAGAUUGGCCCGCGUCUGAUUAGCUAGUUGGUGAGGUAACGGCUCACCAAGGCGACGAUCAGUAGCNGGUCUGAGAGGAUGAUCAGCCACAUUGGGACUGAGACACGGCCCAAACUCCUACGGGAGGCAGCAGUGGGGAAUAUUGGACAAUGGGCGCAAGCCUGAUCCAGCCAUGCCGCGUGAGUGAUGAAGGCCCUAGGGUUGUAAAGCUCUUUU
This 383-nucleotide ribosomal RNA is filed under the name uncultured bacterium. RNAcentral's name for it is "bacterial SSU rRNA". It matches the Rfam family "Bacterial small subunit ribosomal RNA", at positions 29 to 437 of the family's 1533-position model. The record is from RNAcentral.